This 264-nucleotide long non-coding RNA is filed under the name Homo sapiens (human). RNAcentral describes it as "long non-coding RNA NONHSAT198802.1". The record is from RNAcentral. Lineage: Eukaryota; Metazoa; Chordata; Mammalia; Primates; Hominidae.
UUUGCUCCCUGCAGUUGGAGGUCUGAGAGGGGGCGUUCGCUUGCCUGCUACCACGUCCAGUAUGACAGGGGACUCCGCGGCCCGAGAAAGCAGUUGAUUUAGAAGAAGGAAAGACCCUGCCCUGCAGAAUCAUUAUGGAAGCUACUGAGUGACAAGGCAUCCCUGCAUUGGUCCUUUAUAUGAGAAGGUUCUGAAAAAAGAGGACAGCACCUCCUAUGAAGAGCAUGGAGACCCUAACGAGAUGCAGCCACCUCUGGUGAUACG